GAUGAACGCUGGCGGCGUGCCUAAUACAUGCAAGUCGGGCGAACGGACGAGAAGCUUGCUUCUCUGAUGUUAGCGGCGGACGGGUGAGUAACACGUGGAUAACCUACCUAUAAGACUGGGAUAACUUCGGGAAACCGGAGCUAAUACCGGAUAAUAUUUUGAACCGCAUGGUUCAAAAGUGAAAGACGGUCUUGCUGUCACUUAUAGAUGGAUCCGCGCUGCAUUAGCUAGUUGGUAAGGUAACGGCUUACCAAGGCAACGAUGCAUAGCCGACCUGAGAGGGCGAGCGGCCACACGGGAACGGAGACACGGUCCAGACUACUACGGGAGGCAGCAGUAGGGAAUUGUCCGCAAUGGGCGAAAGCCUGACGGAGCAACGCUGCGUGAGUGAUGAAGUUCUUCGGAGCGUAAACCGCUGUUAUGAGGAAAGAACAGAUGUGUAAGUAACUGUGCACAUCUUGACGGUACCUAAAAAGAAAGCCACGGCUAACUACGUG
This 497-nucleotide ribosomal RNA is filed under the name uncultured bacterium. Its description in RNAcentral is "partial 16S ribosomal RNA". It matches the Rfam family "Bacterial small subunit ribosomal RNA", at positions 28 to 507 of the family's 1533-position model. The record is from RNAcentral.